This is a long non-coding RNA of Anastrepha ludens (Mexican fruit fly), 682 nucleotides long. RefSeq lists it as uncharacterized. The record is from RefSeq and is a predicted model, not a curated record. The transcript is spliced from 3 exons. Lineage: Eukaryota; Metazoa; Arthropoda; Insecta; Diptera; Tephritidae.
UUAUUUCAAGCGGCAAAGAUCUGCGCGCAUGAAUAUUACAAACAGUUACAAUGAGAAUCUUCCUCAGAUCAUUCAGGCUAUGGCUGGGCACAGUAUGUACUAGCGGACUGAAGACCCACAGUGUAAAGUCCGUAGCUGUUCUUCUUGUGCGUAUAUAAAUAUGUGUGUAUGUGUACACGUAAAAUCUACAGAGAGAAUCGUGUUGAUAUUUGUAAAUAUUUGUGUGUUCCGGUGGGGUGGACAAUCGCUUUCUCUUUAUACUACAAGCGAAAAGUGCACAUUCUUUGCCAAACACAAACACUUUAAAGAGUGCAGUAAUUUAAUUUGAGGCAGAAACCCUCGCCGCUUCUUUUCAUGCGUCUACUUUAGCUCCAAAACCAAGAGUCUAAGAAAUUGAAUAACGAGGAACAGAAGCAAAAGCUAAAAAUCCGAAUAAAUCCACAGAAUUUUCAACGGACGUAUCUGCAAAUCAGCUGCCGAGGCAAACUAUUAUACCAUUUUUAACUAUUAAUUACGUAAAUUUUGGGUUUUGAGAUUGUAAGUGAAAUGAGAGUUAUGGAACAAAAUUUUUUGAAAAAUGUUUAAAAAAUUCAGUUCCACGGAAAAUAAUAGUUUUAAGUAUUUUGAUCCCCGAAAUAAAUUAAUAUAAGCAAAAAAACAUGUUUUAAUGGGUAAAAUAAUU